Molecule: long non-coding RNA, 1443 nt
Filed under: Scleropages formosus (Asian bonytongue)
Lineage: Eukaryota; Metazoa; Chordata; Actinopteri; Osteoglossiformes; Osteoglossidae
Description: lncRNA (ENSSFOG00015024806.1)
Source: RNAcentral
AUUUUUCUUGGAUGGAGAACAACAGCUUGCUUAGGUCAACAUGCCUGGGUAUUGACACAAGGACAGGAUUUGAAUAACAAACGCAUUCGCGCUAUAAUUCUUUCAAUUCUUUCAUUUUUCUGUCUUUUUUUGUUUUUUUUUCCCUUCUCUCAUAGUACCUGUUUGUUUCUAUGGAAACAGCCCAACACAGGGAGACAGAGUUGCUCCUAACCAGUUAGACACAAAGUUUCUGCUGCUCCACUGUGCAAAUAAGAUGUGGGCGGUACUGAGACUUGAGCUGAGAACGGAAGGAGAAGAGCGAAACAGUUUGCCUUGGGCACAUUAUUUACAUUCUCAGACUAAUUAAUAAAUCUCCGCACAUUUCGCGAGUUUCGCUGGAAAGUUCUGAGUUCCGAAGGUGCAGAGAUGCCCGGCCGACUGCCAUUUGUACUUGAGUAUUGCGAAGAAACGGAUCUACGUCAUCGUGAGGUCCAUGAUCUCGUGCUGAUGUAGGUGAGCAAAAUAAAAGUCAACUUGGUAGAGCUGUUUUCAUUGCAAUAACAGGGACGAUUGUGUCCUUGCGCUGGUAAUCUGAGCAGUAAAGAUGGUAAGAUCGGAUAGUGCCGCAGUGGCUUCCUGCGUGCAGCCCUCUGGGAUGUCACGUCACCCUUCCGCUUGGCCUCCCUCUUUGCAGAUGUCUGGAUAGCUGGGAACGAAGCCAGAUGUCCAUGAAGUGCCCGCUGCCAUUUUCCUCUGGAAACUCCUACCCCCAUGAACAGUUACUGUGGAAACGAACAACACUCACAGCAAGACGCUCCGCUGACCGAGUUCCUACCUGGGCAGCGCGAAGAGGAGAUAUUACACAGUAGAGAAGCCAGGUAAGAGUUAGAGGGCACAUCAUUGUUCAUGAAGAAUUAUCAUUGUGGAUGCAUGAGACAGGGCUGACAUACGAUACAAAUCAGUGCAGUGCUGUCUGUUCAUUCCUGAAGGAAAAACAGCAUAACACGUAGGUUUAGACGGCUAUGACAGCAUGGACUGAAGUCCGUUUGACACACGGCUGGUGAAGCCCCCUCUCUUCUUAUACAGUCAAAGACAUUGCAAAAAAGCGAGGGCUGCGAUGUCAGAAAGAUAUCGCUUUAAACAUGGUAAUCGGAGCUCGGCGCCUUUGCUCAUCCACUGACCCAAAUCUAACCGACAUCUAACUCAAAAAAACCGCGUAAAGCAACCAAGAAACAUCGUACGACUGAAGCUUUAGAUGUGCCUCGGCUGAUUUUGUGAUGGACUAAAAGUACUAAAAUUAAAGAAGGCUUCUAUCCCGAUGGGGGGAUGUAACAUGGAAGUGACUGUGCGGUAAUGUAAGUGCACAGGGUGAAACCGUAAUCCAGCCUUGAUUUAGUAUUGGGGUUAGUGCUUUUGAGUAAGAGAAGGUCCAGGAUUCACUGUGGAACAGACUGCAGCCCAGAG